GGGCCCGCACAAGCGGAGGAACAUGUGGUUUAAUUCGAUGAUACGCGAGGAACCUUACCCGGGCUUGAAUUGCAGAAGAAGGAUCCAGAGAUGGUGACGCCCUUCGGGGCUUCUGUGAAGGUGCUGCAUGGUUGUCGUCAGCUCGUGCCGUGAGGUGUCGGCUUAAGUGCCAUAACGAGCGCAACCCCUCUCUUCAGUUGCCAUCAGGUCAUGCUGGGCACUCUGGAGACACUGCCACCGCAAGGUGUGAGGAAGGUGGGGAUGACGUCAAAUCAGCACGGCCCUUACGUCCGGGGCUACACACGUGUUACAAUGGGGAGUACAGAGAGCCGGGGUCCCGCAAGGUCCCCCCAAUCACUAAAGCUCCUCCCAGUUCGGACUGGGGUCUGCAACCCGACCCCACGAAGCUGGAUUCGCUAGUAAUCGCGCAUCAGCCAUGGCGCGGUGAAUACGUUCCCGGGCCUU
RNAcentral lists this ribosomal RNA (465 nucleotides) under uncultured bacterium. Its description in RNAcentral is "bacterial SSU rRNA". It matches the Rfam family "Bacterial small subunit ribosomal RNA", at positions 917 to 1382 of the family's 1533-position model. The record is from RNAcentral.